AUGCCACAUUUUUUUGUUGCUUAUUUUAGGGGGGGAAAGGGUAAGGCAUCGUCUACUAGAAACACUUGGUUGGUUCGCUGGGCAAUCUCAAAGCUAACAUCUUUCUGUGGAUUUAAGAUUGUCGGUGUUCGUAUGGAUGUUAUGGCCUCUUUUGUCGUUUCCCUAUUUCUUUCGAUAAGCCUUCCUGCUGGUGAAUCGAUGAGUGUGUAUCACUUUGAGACUGAGAAAGCGAGAUCAAUUUCUCUUUGGGUUUUAAAUUCAGGUUGGCAAGCAAGCUUUCUUGAACCAAUGAUGAAAGAGUAUGUCGAUGCGGCAAAGUUUUGUGGUCAAAAUGGAUGGAGAAAGGAGUUGGGGCAUGACAAGCAAAACCUAUCUCAGGUACCUCUCACACUUCUUCAGUAUGCAUGCUUGUCUUGA
This 417-nucleotide ribosomal RNA is filed under the name Triticum aestivum (bread wheat). Its description in RNAcentral is "partial small subunit ribosomal RNA". Lineage: Eukaryota; Viridiplantae; Streptophyta; Magnoliopsida; Poales; Poaceae. The record is from RNAcentral.